This 367-nucleotide ribosomal RNA is filed under the name uncultured organism. RNAcentral's name for it is "bacterial LSU rRNA". It matches the Rfam family "Bacterial large subunit ribosomal RNA", at positions 2099 to 2465 of the family's 2925-position model. The record is from RNAcentral.
CUUUACUGUAGCCUGGAAUUGGGUUCGGGCUUUGCUUGCGCAGGAUAGGUGGGAGGCCGAGAGACAUUCCUUGCGGGGGAUGAGGAGCCGACGGUGAGAUACCACUCUAGUGAGGCUAGAAUUCUAACCUUUACCCGUGAUCCGGGAGAGGAACAGUUUCAGGUGGGCAGUUUGACUGGGGCGGUCGCCUCCUAAAUUGUAACGGAGGCGCGCAAAGGUUCUCUCAGGCUGGUUGGAAAUCAGCCAUAGAGUGUAAAGGCAUAAGAGGGCUUGACUGCGAGACGUACAUGUCGAGCAGGGUGGAAACACGGCCUUAGUGAUCCGACGGCGCUGAGUGGAAGGGCCGUCGCUAAACGGAUAAAAGUUA